This 1575-nucleotide ribosomal RNA is filed under the name Triticum aestivum (bread wheat). Its description in RNAcentral is "partial small subunit ribosomal RNA". Lineage: Eukaryota; Viridiplantae; Streptophyta; Magnoliopsida; Poales; Poaceae. The record is from RNAcentral.
AUGGCCGCCAUCCUCCGUGGCCUGCCGCCUGAGAUGGUCGGGUCCAUCGUCGUCAAGCGAUCGGCGAAGGAGGCCUGGGAGGCCAUCCGCGCCAUGCGGGUGGGCACGGGCCGGGUACGCGAGGCCACCGCUCAGAAGCUCCGAAAGGACUUCGAAAACCUCGCCUUCAAGGAGGGCGAGACCAUCGACGCGUUCACCAUGCGCGCCGCCGCCCUCGUCAACAACUUGCGCACGCUCGGCGACACCGUCGACGACGAGAAGGUUGUCCGUAAGUUCCUCCGCGUCAUUCCAAAGAAGUACUCCCAGGUCGCCAUUGCCAUCGAGACCCUCCUCGACGUCAGCACGCUGUCGCUUGAGGAGGUGACUGGGCGCUUUCUCUCGAUUGAGGAGCGCCUGGAGGAAGAAGAUAGCGCGGGAGGAACUCGCCUGCUCCUCACUGAGGAGGAGUGGGAAGCGCGGUGCAAGCAGCGCGGCGAGGGCCAGUCCAGCAAUGGGCAGCAGAAGGGCAAGAACCAGAACCGCGGUGGGCGCGGACAGCAGAAGGGCAAGAACCAGGCCGGCGCGCCGCCCCGCAACGGCGGCCGCGUGGCCACCAGCGACGACAAGUGCCGCUACUGCAACAAGAACGGGCACUGGGCGCGUGACUGCCGCAAGAAGCAGCGCGACGAGGCCAACAUCGCGCGGGUGGACGAGGAAGAAGGAGAGGGGAGCCUCCUGAUGGCGCACAUCGUCUCCCUCAGCUCCAACCCCGACCACGACAAGGAAGGCGCUCAGGUCUUCCUCGACGAGCAGAACGCCAACGUCACCAUCAGCGAUGCAGCGGCACGGCGCGACAACCUGUGGUACAUCGACACGGCAGCAUCGAACCACAUGACCGGCGACCGCGACGCCUUCUCCGAGCUGAACACCGGCAUCACGGGGCGCGUUCGUUUCGGCGAUGGCUCCGCAGUUGAGAUAUGCGGGCGCGGCACCGUCCUCUUCGUCGCGAAAGACGGACGUCAUCGAGCACUCACCCAGUUCUACUUCAUCCCCAAGCUGCAGAACAACAUCAUUUUUGUAGGUCAACUCGAUGAGGUGGGCUGCGAGGUGUCGAUCCACGGCGGUCUGCUUCGGGUCCGGGACAGAAGCGGCAAGCUGAUCGAGCGCGUUGCACGUAGCGGCAACCGCCUGUACAAGCUCCCAGCCACGCUCGCCAAGCCGGUCUGCAUGACCGCUCGCGUCGAUCAGGUGGCCUGGACGUGGCACGAGAGGUACGGUCACCUCAAUUUCGACAUACUCCGCAAGCUGGCGUCAUCGGACAUGGUGUGCGGGCUCCCUUCAAUCCAGCACGUGGAUCAGGUGUGUGACGGCUGUCUGCUCGGCAAACAGCAUAGCGCAUCGUUCGCACGAGCAGCGAGCUACCGCGCCGGUGACCGCCUCGACCUGGUGCAUGGUGACCUGUGCGGCCCAAUCUCGCCGGCCACGCACGGCGGGAAGCGGCACUUCCUUCUCCUCGUCGACGACAUGAGUCGUUACAUGUGGCUUGUGUUGCUGCGCUCGAAGGACGAAGCUGCAGCCGCGAUCAAGAACUUCUAG